UGAGUUCUUAAAUACCGAAAAAGCUGAAACGGUAGAGCGUUUAAGAGAUGGGUGUGGCUAUAAAUAAGGCUGAGCACGACAAGUCAGAAUCUCAAAACCCUAGCAAUGGUUUCGCCUCUCAGAGAUGAAGCGGUAGAGAGCGAUUUGUACGUAUUUUUUAUCUCUUCGUUUCCGAUUAUAAACCUAAUUAUUUUUGCGUUUUGUAUGUUUAAUUGAAACUGUGAGGGGAGAAGGUGCUAUGAUGAUGAGAUCGAUAAUCUCGUUAAUCUGAUGAAUAGAUCAUUCAUGAGGAUAACUUUUCUCAUCCAUUCAAUAUUUCUUCUGAGCACACUCUCCUCUCGUUUUGUUAUAUGAACUAUGCAUUCCUCUUUAGUCUUGUUUUCAUAAUAAAUCUUUUGUUUUGAAAAUGACGGUAUGUUUUAAAAUCUGCUAUGAGACACUUUGGAGAAAAAUCAUGAAUCUCAUUUAUAUAUUUUUCUAUGAACUCCUUUAUUCUUUUUGUUUGAAUGUUGUGUAAUUAAUUUGAUAAAGAAAAAACUUGCACAUAUUACCUUUUCAAACUCCUUUUCAGUCUCUAAUAAAAAAUUAUUAUUUUUAAUUAAUUUAUUAUAAUUUUUUCAUAUUUUAAAAUAAAAGUGAUAAGUGUUAAAAUGAGAUUGAGUGAAAAAUUGGAUAUUCAUACCUCAUCAUUGUUACGAAGUAUAAUUUAUUAUCACUUUAGACAAAAUCGAUUGUAAUGUUUCUUUAAUAUAUUAUCCCCAAAUUCACGUUCCUUAAUUUUUAUUUAUUGUUUAAUUUAAGAUUUAUUCUUUAUUAAGAAAACUAAAACUAAACUAAGCUAUUCAAUUAGUGAUUAAAUAGAUAGUAUGUAUGAAAAUCAUAUAAAAACAAUAGUUUGUCAUCUAAUGAGUAUAAAACUUUAUCAAUUCAAUGACAACCCCAAUUGAAAUAUUAGAGCUUAAUAUAUGUAUAGCAAAGAUAUUGAGAAUAAUUGUUUAAUGAACAGUUUGUGUUGAAAAUGAAUAACCAAGAAUAAGAGGUAAUAUAUGUCAUUUUUAAUCAUCUUAAAGAUAUACCUAGCGGAAUGGCAUCCUAACGGAAAUAUAACACUAAUGCAAAACAGAAUGAAGAGAGAAAAACAAGAAAAAACAUAACAGAGAUAUUCUCUUAUAUUCUCCAAUAGUGCUUUCAAGCUCAAGGUUAACAAUUUGAUCGACAGCAGGAUGUGAGUAACACACAAGGACUGGUUGAGAACCUUUGAUUAUCAUAAUGAAUCAGAGGGGUGUUACAACGGAUGUAGAGUUCUUUGAGAGAGACUGCAAUGUCUCAACACUUGAACCAGCAACCGAAGUCUGCUUUUUACAACUGGAGAAAAUACAUCCGAACUUUUUUAAUGACAUCCCUUUCCUACAAGCCGUGCUUUAUAAUUAUUGAUAGUAACAUCAACGUUUUCUUUAACAUGAAAAAUCCAUUUGCACCCAAUAGAUGUGAGACUAGGAGGAACAAGGGUGGGAGUCCAAGUGUUAUUAGCCAUGAAUGCAUCAUAGCUUGCCGCCAAAUAGGAGAGGACAAGUAUAAGGAAAAAAGUAAAAUAAAAUAAUGAAAUAAUAUGGAAAGAAAAUAGAAGAAGAAUAUCACGAAAGAACACGAAAUAAUUUUUUUUUUUUAUUCCAUCGCUUAAGAGAAGGUGUUUUAUAUAAGUAGUACUCCUUACAAUUAAUAUUUAUUCAUAUGGAUAUAACGAUGUUCUCCUUUUUUAGGUAAGGGUGAUAUGUUAUUUACUAACAAAAUCUCUAAGAUAAAUUGGCUAACGAAUAAUCCUCUUAGGACGAUCAAUAAAAGCAUCUGGAGCAUUACUUGGGCUAUGUAACAUCUGGGCUAGUACUUGUGUUGUACUCACCUUGUGCAUAGUUAAUAAGAUUAGAGUAUUGUAAGGGCCCAAUGAUUCUUUCGUCUCCCUCCGGAUGGAGAAGCUCUUUCAUAACUCCCUAUGGUUCCCACGUAACAUCUUGUGGUGGAAGACCCCUCCAUUGCACCAAGUCUAAAUCAGAAUCUGGCUUAGUGUUCAGAAUAGCUAUGGGUUCCAAUAUGGGUUGAUUAUCAUUGAAUUUCAAGGGAAGUUUUCAAGUUGUUGUCAGGGGAUUUCCCUUGUGUGGUUUGAGACCCCUCCAUUGAACCAAAACCGUUUUUGUAACUUUUCCUGGUAAUGACCAGCAACUGAAACCUGACAGCGAAGACGAACAUAAACCCAGUCUCCAGGUUAGAAUUGGAGACUGCAAUGAUUGGUGUCUACCCAUCGCUUAAUAUCUGCUUGUGCCUUUUGGAGGUUGUAGUUGAGUUUACGGAUGAUGUCAGCUCUAGGUGCAAUUCAAACUGAACAACAACAUUUGAAGUGUCAGAAGAAAGACCUUGGGGAAUAGAUGAUGGGUACCAUACACGACUUCAAAUGGGGUCAUCUUGAUAGAAGCGUUAAUAGUGGUGUUGAAGCACCAUUUGGCCCAAGGAAGAAAUUUGCCCCAUAAUGAUGGCUUGUGAUGGAUGAAGCAACGAAGACAUUGUUGCAAGACCUUGUUAACCACCUACAUUUGGCCAUCGGACUAAGGAUGGUAAGUUGUGGACAUCCAUAAUUUGGUACAACUUAAGCGGAAGAAACAUAAGGUCCCGAUCAGAAAUUAAGCUCUUGGGAAGGCCGUCCAAUUUGCAGAUCAUGUGCAUGAAUAAGUCUGUCACUUUGGAGGCUAAGAAAGACCUGGUUAACAUGCCAAAGUGUGCAACCUUUGAGAACCUGCCUAUAACAACCAAUAUUGUAGAAUUGCCCUGGUAUGGAGGAAGGCCCACAAUGAAAUCUAGGUAUAAAUCCUCCCAACAUUUGGUAUGUGGAGGAAUUGGUUGAAGUAGCCCUGUAGGUUUUUGAACUGGGAUCUUAGUUUGUUGACAAAUUUCACAUUGGGUGACAAAUGUGUGGACAUUAUGACGCAUUUUGUCCCAAAAGAAGUUAGUUGCUAACUUCCCAAAAGUGCGUGCUACGCUAGGGUGUCCUGCCAAAGGUGUAGAAUGGUACUCAUGUAAGAAAGUGAGGAUGAAAGGGCAUGAUGGAGGAAUCCAGAUGCGUUAUUUGAAUACGAUCAACCCAUUUGUCAAAGAAUAUAGAGGAAAGUUAACAGGAUUUGUUGUGAUUCGUUGCUUCAGUGAAAGGAACUCGGUAUUGGUGGACACAUAGUACUGUAGAUCAGAUAUAAAAUCCAAUUGAGGAAUGGAUAAAAUGAGAAGGUAGUGCUCCUGUCAUGACUGUAAGAGCCUGGAUAAAGCAUUUGCUGCUGAAUUAGACUUCCCUGAGUGAUUUUGUUGAUAUGGAGUAAGAACGGUUUGGGAGAGUAACUCUUUGAUUGAUUUCUAGUUUGUUUGGAUAAUGAAUCUUCGGCCAAGUAAGUAUUGCCGCCACUUUUGUACAACUGAGGUAAUUUCGCAGAGUUCCCUAAUAUAAGUGGAUGAGUCUUGCAGCUUCGAGCAAAAUUAUUUAUUGAAAAUGUGAUGGGAUGUCCGUUUUGAGAGAGAACAACCCUCAUGCCUGAACCUGAUGCAUCAGCUUGAACUAUGAAAGUGUGAUAAAAAAGGGGCAGCGACAAAACAAAAGCAUUCGUUAGUGCCUCUUUCACAUGUUGGAAGGCCUAUGAGACACUAUAUUGCCAAAAGACAUUGUCACGUUUGAGGAAGUCAAUGAGAGCACUAGUGAUGGAGGCAUAACCUUUCACGAAGCGACGGUAGAAUCCAGUUAAACCCAAGAAGCCACAAAGAGACUUGACUGACGUGGGUGUUGGCAAAUCAAGAACAACUUGGAUCUUACUAGGGUCUAGCUGCACACCCUUAUUAGAGGCUAUGUGACCCAGGUAAUGUAUGGACUCCUUCCCAAUUGAACAUUUCUCCCCUUUAAGGUGAAAGCUAUUCUGGACUAGCAAUUGAAAAAUUCACUCCAAAUGGGAAAUGUGUAAAUCCAAUGCUGGACUAUAGACGAGGAUGUCGUCAAAAAAUAAAAUGAUGAAUUGACGAAGAUGUGGGCGAAAGAGGUCAUUCAUGGUGGCCUAAAAUGUAGAAGGGGCCUUGCAUAACCCAAAUGGCAUGACUCUGAAUUCGAAAUGGCCGUAUGUGUGCGAAAGACAGUUUUGCCACAAUCACUAGGAAGCAUCAAGAUUUGGUGGAAACCCGAAAAUAGAUCCAACUUUGAAAACCAAGUGAUUGAAUUGUGUACCAAUGAUACAAAUCUGUGCUUAAACUGGUGAUUAACUUGUGAUAUUCUGCAUUGUGCACACAAACUAUUUUUGAAAUUCAUGCAUAAUGGUAGUGGGAGUAUCACUUCUUUGCAUAUUGCUUCAUCACACACCUAUUUUUCAGGGGGAGUUUAUAUUUGUAUUUGUGAUGAACUUGUGAUUUUGAGAGCAUCAUUGUCAUUUUGAAACUGCAUAUUUGUUUGAUGCUUCUCUGUUUUCAAAACUUCAUAAAUAUCAAAGCAUUCCUUUUUUGUUAUUUUUGCUGCUUAUGCAGAGUAACUGAACUGUCUUUAUUGAUUUUGCUAUUUGUUUUUACUCUGUCAUAUGUGGAACUGUACAAACAUGGUUGAGUUAUUAAUCAUGGUUGUGCGUCAUAAAAAAAGGGGGAGAUUGUUGAGAUUGUUGACAUCACGAACUCUAUAUCAAACUGGUUUUUUAUGAUGGCAACACACUGCUUAAUAACAGUACAUAAGUUCCAGGAUUACAUGUUCAACUGUAUAACAAACUAGAUUGAACAAAUGCUUUUGUUGAACAUGUUUUGUUGAUUUGCAAUGUGUGUUCCUAUGAUGGAUUAUGUGUUACAUGUAUGGAACAUGCUUGUAUUGAAAUGUGUGAUAAAAUAAUUUUGAUUACUUCUGCACAUUUCUGAAGAAAAGCUCACAAGCACUUUUAUGAACUUAUAUUUGUUGUGACAAAGGUCUAGUUCAGUCGAAUACACUGGUAAUGGAUUCGACUAAGCUAAAACCUUUGUACAGAUUUUGUGAACCUGUGCUUGGUGAGAUUUUGAGUUGAAAAGAAUUUCAAAGUGAUUUUUCAUGUGUAAGUCGACAGUGUGGAACACCUAUUCGACUAUGUUGCUGUUAUUUUUGGAAUUUUGUUAUGCCUACUUGCUCCAACAGCUAUAUUUUCAAAGGUUAGUUAAGAUUGACUGACUGGGUCGACUGUCUUAAAUGUGUAUUGAUUUGGUUGACUGAGGAGCCUUUGUGUUGACUGUCUGUUAUAACUAUUUUAAUACAGUCGACUGUAUUAGUAGACAAUUCGACUGAGAAUGACAGGAAAACUAUAAAUAGAACAAAACACGAAUUGUUCUGGGACUUUUGUGAUCUAACAUUUUCAUUGUCCUGUUUCAGAGAAAGUUCUUAGUUUAGGAAGCUCCAAGAAUUCUCCAAGAAGGCGGUGGUGAGCUUUCUUGAGAGAGAUUUAGAUUGAGGAGUCUUUUGCGCAUACUGUUUGAUCACAUCUGCACAAAGGAGGUGCUUCUGGUUUGAUCCUGAAGGCUUGACAUCCUGUAAGACUGUUGUAUUGACUAAAGGCUUGGCAACCUGUGAAGUCUGCUGUGAUAGGCUUGGCAACCUGUGAAGCGUGCUGUGAUAGGCUUGACAUCCUGUGAAUAAUGCUGGUUACACGUUGAGGAUUGGUCUACGUGGGUUCAGAUUGCAGAAGAGGGGAUUCUUGUUGCAAUUCUAGUUUUGUUUGUGCAGCUAUAUUUGGUUUUGGGUUAGAGAGGAGAUUUAUAUUUUUGCGUGGUGCUUCUAUAAAUUCCUUGCUGUAAAAACCGCAACCAUUAUAGUGCAUUUGCUUCCAAGAUUGGAAGGACACUAGAUGUAGACAUUGUUGGCCGAACCAGUAUAAAAACCAGUGUUUUAUUUUCUCUAUCUCUACACUCUUUAUUUCAGUCGACUUUAUUUGUUUAGCAGUCAACUACGUUUUUCCGCUACUCUGAAAUUUUUAUUACUUGCAUUUCAAGGAAAGAUCAAAAGCUUUGAAUUUUCAUACCAAGAUUGCGAAAAGACUUUGUUUUUGAACUAACACCAAUUCACCUCCCCUCUUGGUGUAAAACGAAGACAACCUGUUUCUUAACCGUACGAAAUCUUCAGCAUGACUUUUGGUGGAGAGAACAUUACAUUAAUGUUUUUUUUUGUUUCUAACAUCCACUUCUAACUUGUUCAUGAUGGAGCAUAUGGAUACUUGUAAUAAGCAUUUGCACAUAGUAGAGUAGAAAUGUAUGCUAACAGAUAUGUCAUUUUUCUUAUUACUUUUAUUGUUUGAAACAUUGUUCAUUUAAUGUUUUGCAUUGCGUGUUCAAAACAACUUUGUCAAUUUUUCUAUACAUGCAAAACUUUUAAGCAUAUUUUGAAAGGUACCAAGUAUUGAUUCAUAAAGGCUUCAUUAUUAGAUGAAAAUAUCGUUUAGUAUCAAGGUAUCAUUUAUCCUUUAAAAGGUGUUUACUAACAACACAUUGUUUAAUGAUCUUUGUUUAGUACGAGAGCACGUUUAGAAAAGUGUUAUUCAACAUAUUAUUUUUGGAGCAUUGUUUACAACUUUAGUGCAUUUAGCAAAAAUAUCAUGUAGCACGUUUAUUUAGUAAGAUACAGUAGGAACGGUUUAACAAAGAUAUCAUGUAGCACUUUGACACGUUUACGAUGAUAUCAUUUAGUUCAAUGAUCCUUUCAUAAUAAACCAUCUUCUUAGUAAUGUGUUUAUUGACCAUUGGAUCGUUUAGUCCUAGCACGUUCACUGAAACUUUUCUUGUUCAUUCAGAUUCAUAACGCUUGUUUCAUAUGAUGUCUUUCAUUCAACGAUAUUAUUUUCACAAAGAUAGUACUUUGUCAAAUACUUAUUUCGUUUAUUGUUGUUUGUUAAACUUCAAAACAUAAAGGUGUUAGAAGGCCUUGUCUUAUAGAAGAUCUUGUCUUAACAAAAUAUACAUAGAUGACAUCAUUUUUUGUGAUACUAACAAGUUAUUAUGUGAGGAAUUCUAAAGUCUUAUGAAGAGUGAGUUCAAGAUGAACAUGAUGGGAGAGUUAAAGUUUUUCCUUGGUUUGCAAAUAAAACAAGCUUAGGAUCAUAUCUAUAUCCAUCAACCAAGUACAAACGAGUAAAGUCAUGUUCUUAAUACAAGUAGUCAUUCAAUCAAGGGCUGAGGAAUCACACUGAGUUCGAUAACCUUAGGUUCUAAAGUUAAGGAAUUGAUUUAGAAAUACCUUAAAGAACUUUUAGGAACACUAAGUAAUGAACUUGACAUAUACGAUCAAUAAUAAUGUAGUAGAGGAAGACUUACCAAAUUUAAUCCUAAAAUUUAUAUCAACAUCAACUAGAUCAACCAUUAAGCAAUUCAUAUGUUAAGAUUGUUGAUAAGGGGAGCACUGGUUUAACUAAGCCUUACAAUCUCAGAACUUCUGGUUAUUGAUGAUGACAACACAUUAUUAAUAACACAUGUUUUUAUAUGUGUUACAUGUUCAUAGCUUUCAUGUUUAUGAUUAAAUCAGAACAUGUUUCUGUUGUUUCUGUCAAAACAUGCAAAUUGACUGUGUUUGACAUGAGAUCUUUUUUGUGAUUGCAUAACAAAUGUUUUGAAAAAGGAAAACCACAUGCACUUUUAUUGAACUUAAAUUGUGUGGCAAAACAACAAUUUUAAGUCGACUUCAUUAUGAAGUAAGUCGAUUAAAACUCGUGACUUUGCACAAACUUUUUAAAAGUGUGAUGUGGGUAUUUUUAGAAAGAAAGUCUUUCAAAAUUGCAUUGAACUGUUACAAAGUCGACUGUGUGCGCAAGCAACUUGACUUAGUUAGUUAUGUUUUGAAGUUCUGUUAAUGUUUGUGAUGUCUAACGACUAUAUUUUAUUUGUUUGACCAAACAUUGAUUGUGAGUCAACUGUAUUAAAUGCGUAAUCAAUUAAGUUGGUUUGACUGCUGCUAACUGUUAUAACUGUCUGAGUAUAAUCGACUCUAUUAGUAGCAAAGUCGACUUAGGAGCGUCAGUUUUGUGGAAAACUAUAUAUAGAUGCGAAUUUGAUUUCUGCAUAGAAUUUUGUGAUUCUAAUGAGUUAAUUGAUUUCUUUUCAGAUUUCUGAUCUCUUGUAGAACGUGCAAAAGCUCCAAGAAUUCAUCAAGAAGAACGUGGUGUUCAUCUUUGGUGAUUACUUGACGAGCAAGAAUAUGUGUGCUCUUACUGUCUGAUCAACCUGCACUUGAGGUGUUUGUUUUGUGACCAGUUUCUAUCAAUCUUUUGAAGAUUGGAGUUGCCCUGUUGUGACUACAGGAAGAGGACAUGCUGCGUUCUGGACUUUGAGGAUUGUUCAAAGUGUUAAAGACUACAGGAGAGGGGACAUCUUGCUGUUGUUCUUUGUUUGUACAUGCCUAUAUUUUGAUUAAAGGGUUAGAGAGGUGUUUUAUAUUUUGACGUGGAGGUCGCUAUAAAAUCCUUGUUGCAAAAACCUUGAUCAUUAUAGUGCAUUUGCUUCCUGGGAUUGAAAGGACACUAGAUGUAGGCAGUUUGGC
RNAcentral lists this long non-coding RNA (8545 nucleotides) under Vigna radiata. RNAcentral's name for it is "long non-coding RNA (VRAD_LNC002706)". The stretch from base 235 to 327 matches the Rfam family "Small nucleolar RNA U30". Lineage: Eukaryota; Viridiplantae; Streptophyta; Magnoliopsida; Fabales; Fabaceae. The record is from RNAcentral.